RNAcentral lists this ribosomal RNA (416 nucleotides) under uncultured bacterium. Its description in RNAcentral is "bacterial SSU rRNA". It matches the Rfam family "Bacterial small subunit ribosomal RNA", at positions 30 to 489 of the family's 1533-position model. The record is from RNAcentral.
AUUGAACGCUGGCGGCAUGCCUAACACAUGCAAGUCGAACGAGACCUUCGGGUCUAGUGGCGCACGGGUGCGUAACGCGUGGGAAUCUGCCCUUUGCUUCGGAAUAACAGUUAGAAAUGACUGCUAAUACCGGAUGAUGUCUUCGGACCAAAGAUUUAUCGGCAAAGGAUGAGCCCGCGUAGGAUUAGGUAGUUGGUGGGGUAAAGGCCUACCAAGCCGACGAUCCUUAGCUGGUCUGAGAGGAUGAUCAGCCACACUGGGACUGAGACACGGCCCAGACUCCUACGGGAGGCAGCAGUGGGGAAUAUUGGACAAUGGGGGCAACCCUGAUCCAGCCAUGCCGCGUGAGUGAAGAAGGCCUUCGGGUUGUAAAGACUCUUUCAGUUGUGAAGAUAAUGACGGUAGCAACAGAAGAA